AAGGUUGGCUAAUCCUGGUCGGACAUCAGGAGGUUAGUGCAAUGGCAUAAGCCAGCUUGACUGCGAGCGUGACGGCGCGAGCAGGUGCGAAAGCAGGUCAUAGUGAUCCGGUGGUUCUGAAUGGAAGGGCCAUCGCUCAACGGAUAAAAGGUACUCCGGGGAUAACAGGCUGAUACCGCCCAAGAGUUCAUAUCGACGGCGGUGUUUGGCACCUCGAUGUCGGCUCAUCACAUCCUGGGGCUGAAGUAGGUCCCAAGGGUAUGGCUGUUCGCCAUUUAAAGUGGUACGCGAGCUGGGUUUAGAACGUCGUGAGACAGUUCGGUCCCUAUCUGUCGUGGGCGCUGGAGAACUGAGGGGGGCUGCUCCUAGUACGAGAGGACCGGAGUGGACGCAUCACUGGUGUUCGGGUUGUCAUGCCAAUGGCACUGCCCGGUAGCUAAAUGCGGAAGAGAUAAGUGCUGAAAGCAUCUAAGCACGAAACUUGCCCCGAGAUGAGUUCUCCCUGAGACUUAGAGUCUCCUGAAGGAACGUUGAAGACGACGACGUUGAUAGGCCGGGUGUGUAAGCGCAGCGAUGCGUUGAGCUAACCGGUACUAAUGAACCGUGAGGCUUAACCUU
This 618-nucleotide ribosomal RNA is filed under the name Salmonella enterica. RNAcentral's name for it is "partial 23S ribosomal RNA". It matches the Rfam family "Bacterial large subunit ribosomal RNA", at positions 2313 to 2925 of the family's 2925-position model. Lineage: Bacteria; Pseudomonadati; Pseudomonadota; Gammaproteobacteria; Enterobacterales; Enterobacteriaceae. The record is from RNAcentral.